UCCUACGGGAGGCAGCAGUGGGGAAUAUUGCGCAAUGGGCGAAAGCCUGACGCAGCGACGCCGCGUGAGGGAUGAAGGCCUUCGGGUCGUAAACCUCUGUCAGGAGGGAAGAACCGCCAUGGUGCUAAUCAGCCAUGGUCUGACGGUACCUCCAAAGGAAGCACCGGCUAACUCCGUGCCAGCAGCCGCGGUAAUACGGAGGGUGCAAGCGUUAAUCGGAAUCACUGGGCGUAAAGCGCGCGUAGGCGGCUUUUUAAGUCAGAGGUGAAAUCCCACGGCUCACCCGUGGAACUGCCUUUGAUACUGGAGGGCUUGAGUGUGUGAGAGGAUAGUGGAAUUCCUGGUGUAGGAGUGAAAUCCGUAGAGAUCAGGAGGAACAUCAGUGGCGAAGGCGACUAUCUGGCACAAUACUGACGCUGAGGUGCGAAAGCGUGGGUAUCAAACAGGAUUAGAUACCCUGGUAGUCCACGCUGUAAACGAUGGAUACUAGGUGCUGGGGGCUCGACUCUCGGUGCCGUGGCUAACGCGUUAAGUAUCCCGCCUGGGGAGUACGGUCCUAGCUGAACUCAAAGGAAUUGACGG
This 582-nucleotide ribosomal RNA is filed under the name uncultured bacterium. RNAcentral's name for it is "bacterial SSU rRNA". It matches the Rfam family "Bacterial small subunit ribosomal RNA", at positions 337 to 916 of the family's 1533-position model. The record is from RNAcentral.